This 292-nucleotide ribosomal RNA is filed under the name uncultured bacterium. RNAcentral's name for it is "partial 16S ribosomal RNA". It matches the Rfam family "Bacterial small subunit ribosomal RNA", at positions 505 to 796 of the family's 1533-position model. The record is from RNAcentral.
GUUUAAGCCGCCGCGGUAAUACGUAGGGUGCGAGCGUUGUCCGGAAUUAUUGGGCGUAAAGAGCUCGUAGGCGGCCUGUCACGUCGGAUGUGAAAACCCGGGGCUCAACCCCGGGCCUGCAUUCGAUACGGGCAGGCUAGAGUUCGGCAGGGGAGACUGGAAUUCCUGGUGUAGCGGUGAAAUGCGCAGAUAUCAGGAGGAACACCGGUGGCGAAGGCGGGUCUCUGGGCCGAUACUGACGCUGAGGAGCGAAAGCGUGGGGAGCGAACAGGAUUAGAAACCCCAGUAGUCC